Melospiza georgiana is the source of this 314-nucleotide long non-coding RNA. RefSeq lists it as uncharacterized. The record is from RefSeq and is a predicted model, not a curated record. Lineage: Eukaryota; Metazoa; Chordata; Aves; Passeriformes; Passerellidae. The transcript has 4 exons.
GUGGCCUGGGGCUGUGAGGAGCAGGAACAAGCUGUCCUCUUCCUGAGAAUGGAAAAGAAGAAUGAGCACCCUGAAGUUCCUUUUCCAAGCAGCUGACUAGAGCCAAGCACUCAGCCUGGACCAGCAGCCCUGAUGGGACCAACAAGACUUUUAGGUCUCAGGAGACUGGAGUCCUGCACAGCUCAUGAACAGCUGAGCCUGGAAAAAUGCAUCCAGACUCAUGUUAGGAAACUCUUACUGCCCCCAGCAACUCUAACAUAUUUGAAGCAAACUUAGGGGCAUUCAUCCUCUGGACAGAAUGACUGCACUGCAGA